GACGAACCGUGCGAACGUUAUUCGGAAUCACUGGGCUUAAAGAGCUUGUAGGCGGUUUGUCGCGUCUGCUGUGAAAAUCCAGGGCUCAACCCCGGACUUGCAGUGGGUACGGGCAGACUAGAGUGUGGUAGGGGAGACUGGAAUUCCUGGUGUAGCGGUGAAAUGCGCAGAUAUCAGGAGGAACACCGAUGGCGAAGGCAGGUCUCUGGGCCACUACUGACGCUGAGAAGCGAAAGCAUGGGGAGCGAACAGG
RNAcentral lists this ribosomal RNA (253 nucleotides) under uncultured bacterium. RNAcentral describes it as "partial 16S ribosomal RNA". It matches the Rfam family "Bacterial small subunit ribosomal RNA", at positions 524 to 776 of the family's 1533-position model. The record is from RNAcentral.